This 270-nucleotide long non-coding RNA is filed under the name Brassica napus (rape). RNAcentral describes it as "long non-coding RNA (BNAP_LNC015063)". Lineage: Eukaryota; Viridiplantae; Streptophyta; Magnoliopsida; Brassicales; Brassicaceae. The record is from RNAcentral.
CCAAACUGUGGGAACCAAAAUUCGCACUGUCGAUUUCUGUUUAAAUUAGGAAAGUAGGAGAACCCUAAUUUUCCAGAGGUCCCGGAUAUCUGCUAAUACCACACGCCAAGCAAUCAGAACAUGAAACAAGAACAAUUAUAAAAUAAGAAAUCGAAAGAGAGAGCAAGAUAGUUCUUAUUCUGAAUUUGCGUUUGAGCAUUUAUAAUAAGGUAAGUGCCUGGGGUACGAGAGCUGUCGGCGAGAUUCCUAGUUCUAAAACCCUAAGACGGC